RNAcentral lists this ribosomal RNA (33 nucleotides) under Scorpidium cossonii. RNAcentral describes it as "partial 18S ribosomal RNA". Lineage: Eukaryota; Viridiplantae; Streptophyta; Bryopsida; Hypnales; Amblystegiaceae. The record is from RNAcentral.
GUUUCCGUGCGUGAACCUGCGGAAGGAUCAUUG